GGACUUUUUGUGAAGGUGAUCUGGCUGCAACAUCUGUCACCCCAUUGAUCACCAGGGUUGAUUAGGCUGCUCUGUCUGGCUAGGAGGGUGUCUGCUUCCUCCCGCACCACUCCAUGUGAGUCCCUCCUGAAGCUGCCAGAAUAAAGGAGGAACAUUCUUAGGUCAAGGGUAUAUGAGUAUCUGCACUCCCUGCUAGAACCUCCAAACAAGCUCAAGGUCCAUAUGCUACACCUUUUUAUAGUCAGGAUAAAUGGAAAAUUGUCUUAGAAAAAGAAUACUUAAAUUU
RNAcentral lists this small nuclear RNA (286 nucleotides) under Meriones unguiculatus (Mongolian gerbil). RNAcentral describes it as "7SK RNA (ENSMUGG00000002398.1)". It matches the Rfam family "7SK RNA". Rfam says of the family: 7SK was discovered as an abundant small nuclear RNA in the mid-70s but a possible function has only recently been suggested. Two independent studies have found that 7SK RNA binds the CDK9/cyclin T complex (known as elongation factor P-TEFb). Lineage: Eukaryota; Metazoa; Chordata; Mammalia; Rodentia; Muridae. The record is from RNAcentral.